RNAcentral lists this ribosomal RNA (566 nucleotides) under Megastraea undosa. Its description in RNAcentral is "partial 16S ribosomal RNA". It matches the Rfam family "Bacterial large subunit ribosomal RNA", at positions 1800 to 2597 of the family's 2925-position model. The record is from RNAcentral. Lineage: Eukaryota; Metazoa; Mollusca; Gastropoda; Trochida; Turbinidae.
CGCUCUCUGAAAAUACUUGUUUAUAACAGGUUAAAUUAAGAUGGAGAGUCGGACCUGCCCAGUGACUUAUCUGUUAAACGGCCGCGGUACUCUGACCGUGCAAAGGUAGCAUAAUCAUUUGCCUUUUAAUUGAAGGCUUGUAUGAAUGGUUUGACGAGGGCUAAGCUGUCUCUUUUUAAAUAUAAAAAAAUUAAUUUUUAGGUGAAGAGGCCUAAAUCUAACUGAGGGACAAGAAGACCCCGUUGAGCUUUAGUAAUUUAAUGAAAUUAGUCAAGUAUUGAUAUACUUAAUGCCCCAUUAUAAUGAAGGUACUAUUCAUUAAAAAUCUUUAGUUGGGGCGACUGAGGAGCAUAUAAAGCUUCCUUUAAAUUAAAUUUGUGGAAAUCAAGCUAAUUUAAAUGGAUCCAGUAUUUACUGAUCAAAGGAAAAAGUUACCACGGGGAUAACAGCGUAAUCUUUCUAAAGAGUUCUUAUCGAAGGAAGGGUUUGCGACCUCGAUGUUGGACUAAGAUAUCCUAGGGAUGUAGAAGUUCCUAAUGGUUAGUCUGUUCGACUAUUAAAAUCUU